Molecule: ribosomal RNA, 466 nt
Filed under: uncultured Glomus
Lineage: Eukaryota; Fungi; Glomeromycota; Glomeromycetes; Glomerales; Glomeraceae
Description: SSU rRNA
Rfam family: Eukaryotic small subunit ribosomal RNA
Source: RNAcentral
UUCCAGCUCCAAUAGCGUAUAUUAAAGUUGUUGCAGUUAAAAAGCUCGUAGUUGAAUUUCGGGACCAAUAUGUCGGUCGUACUUUGUACGUACUAGCAUUAUUGGUUUCUCCCUUCUGAAGAACCGCGAUGUCAUUAAUUUGGUGUCGUGGGGAAUCAGGACUGUUACUUUGAAAAAAUUAGAGUGUUUAAAGCAGGCUCGCGCUUGAAUACAUUAGCAUGGAAUAAUGAAAUAGGACGUUUGAUUCUAUUUUGUUGGUUUCUAGGAUCGACGUAAUGAUUAAUAGGGAUAGUUGGGGGCAUUAGUAUUCAAUUGUCAGAGGUGAAAUUCUUGGAUUUAUUGAAGACUAACUACUGCGAAAGCAUUUGCCAAGGAUGUUUUCAUUAAUCAAGAACGAAAGUUAGGGGAUCGAAGACGAUCAGAUACCGUCGUAGUCUUAACCAUAAACUAUGCGACUAGGGAUCGG